GACGAACGCUGGCGGCGUGCUUAACACAUGCAAGUCGAACGGGCCCGCUCUCUUUUUUGGGGGUGGGUUGAGUGGCGACCGGGUGAGUAUCACGUGAGUAACCUGCCCCCUGCUCCUGGAUAACUGCUUGAAAGGGCGGCUAAUACGGGGUGUGCCGGCUGGUCCGCAUGGGCCUGGUCGGGAUAGUUUCAUCUUCGGGUGUUUCGGUGGGGGAUGGGCUCGCGGCCUAUCAGCUUGUUGGUGGGGUGAUGGCCCACCAAGGCGGUGACGGGUAGCCGGCCUGAGAGGGUGGGCGGCCACACUGGGACUGAGACACGGCCCAGACUCCUGCGGGAGGCAGCAGUGGGGGGUAUUGCACAAUGGGCGGAAGCCUGAUGCAGCGACGUCGCGUGAGGGAUGGAGGCCUUCGGGUGGUGAACCUCUUUCUCCGGUGGUGAAGGCCCUGUCCGUUGCGGCGGGGUUGACGGUAGCCGGGUAUGAAGCGCCGGCUAACUACGUG
RNAcentral lists this ribosomal RNA (499 nucleotides) under uncultured bacterium. RNAcentral describes it as "partial 16S ribosomal RNA". It matches the Rfam family "Bacterial small subunit ribosomal RNA", at positions 28 to 507 of the family's 1533-position model. The record is from RNAcentral.